This is a long non-coding RNA of Microtus oregoni (creeping vole), 987 nucleotides long. RefSeq lists it as uncharacterized. The transcript has 5 exons. The record is from RefSeq and is a predicted model, not a curated record. NCBI's taxonomy places the organism in Eukaryota, Metazoa, Chordata, Mammalia, Rodentia, Cricetidae.
CGAGUUCCAGAUGCUUUUAUUUUUCUCCGUCUAUAAUUGGAAACAAAAAUACAGCAUGGCUUUUGAAUGGAAAGUGCCAGGAGAGGUGAUGCUUUUAGCUCUGGGAUUUUAACCGUGAUUUAGAGCCCAGCAUGAGGCCGUGGCCCGUCAUCACCACAGCUAGCUGGCUCAGGCUGCUCCCUGCAGACCAGCUCAAGGCUUUAUCUCAGAGCCCGGGUGAGCUUCAGCGCAAGCAGAGGAUGUUGGCUGCUUCUCCACAUCAGACCCACCAGGGAAACAAUCAUUUUACUGCUCCACAUAAUUCACACCCAGACAAGGAGGUACAUUUCAAGAUGUUUUCAGGCAGCAAUGAGUAAAGCGAAGAGCUGUGUGUUCCAACGGACAGAAAACAUGAGUCAAAGUGGCCCCUUUCCCUGGAAAUGCUCUCCGUCUUGGCCUUCACGUCACGUAUAUUCCACCCACCUCUGAGAGACCGACAGAACCAUUUAUUUCACUUUUAUUGUCAGUUCCUUCCGUGAGUGUCAGAAUCAAAUGUUCCUGCUCACACUCAGUAUUGACAAAGGGAAGGAGAAUGUAACACAAGCAAGCCACAUCUGGGAAGAAGUUAGGAUGGGCCCAGGAACAUUUUCUAACAUGAAAACACCAGAAGAGAGAUGCUCGAAGAGGAGAGAGAUUCUUGUCCAAAACCAGAUCAACUGUAGGCUCAUCUUUUCCCAGAAAGUGAAUAGAGAAUCAGCCUGCCCCAGGAGCCCUGCCAAGGAGUCCAACCCCUGGCAGCCUGGCUUUUCAUCAAAUGGAUGGUAAUUUCCCAAGGUGCUAGUUUCACGCUCUCAGGGCAAAAUGUCAAGCCCAGAAUGCAACCCGCAGUUUAGACAGGAGAAGUCCUGUUUCUCUCAUAGACGUCUCCAGCUACCUCCGGUUCCUCAUUUUUCCUCUGUAUAUGUAAUUAAGCAAAAUUAAAAGGUACAGCAUAGCCUCAGAGGGAAA